Molecule: small nuclear RNA, 190 nt
Organism: Hemicordylus capensis (graceful crag lizard)
Lineage: Eukaryota; Metazoa; Chordata; Lepidosauria; Squamata; Cordylidae
Product: U2 spliceosomal RNA
Exons: 1
Source: RefSeq, a predicted model, not a curated record
AUCGCUUCUCGGCCUUAUGGCUAAGAUCAAGUGGAGUAUCUGUUCUUAUCAGUUUAAUAUCUGGUAUGUCCUCUAUUUGGGGGCAAUAUAUUAAAUGGAUUUUGGGGAGUGGGAGAUGGAAUAGGAGCUUGCUCCAUCCACUCCAGCAUCAACCUGGUAUUGCAGUAUCUGCAGGAAUGGUGCGUCUUCC